UAACGACUCUCGGCAACGGAUAUCUCGGCUCUCGCAUCGAUGAAGAACGUAGCGAACUGCGAUACUUGGUGUGAAUUGCAGAAUCCCGUGAACCAUCGAGUCUUUGAACGCAAGUUGCGCCCGAAGCCAUUUGGACGAGGGCACGUUUGCCUGGGUGUCA
Molecule: ribosomal RNA, 160 nt
Filed under: Luma apiculata
Lineage: Eukaryota; Viridiplantae; Streptophyta; Magnoliopsida; Myrtales; Myrtaceae
Also listed under: 14 other names
Description: 5.8S ribosomal RNA
Rfam family: 5.8S ribosomal RNA
About the family: 5.8S ribosomal RNA (5.8S rRNA) is a component of the large subunit of the eukaryotic ribosome.
Source: RNAcentral